RNAcentral lists this ribosomal RNA (487 nucleotides) under uncultured Corynebacterium sp. RNAcentral describes it as "bacterial SSU rRNA". It matches the Rfam family "Bacterial small subunit ribosomal RNA", at positions 8 to 507 of the family's 1533-position model. Lineage: Bacteria; Bacillati; Actinomycetota; Actinomycetes; Mycobacteriales; Corynebacteriaceae. The record is from RNAcentral.
AGAGUUUGACGUCCUCGGCUCGAGGACGAACGCUGGCGGCGUGCUUAACACAUGCAAGUCGAACGAUGAGCCCUGCUUGCAGGGUGGAUUAGUGGCGAACGGGUGAGUAACACGUGGGUGAUCUGCCCUGCACUUCGGGAUAAGCCUGGGAAACUGGGUCUAAUACCGGAUAUGACCCUCCUUUAGUGUGGGGGUGGAAAGCUUUUGCGGUGUGGGAUGAGCCUGCGGCCUAUCAGCUUGUUGUGGGGUAAUGGCCUACCAAGGCGUCGACGGGUAGCCGGCCUGAGAGGGUGAUCGGCCACAUUGGGACUGAGACACGGCCCAGGCUCCUACGGGAGGCAGCAGUGGGGAAUAUUGCACAAUGGGCGAAAGCCUGAUGCAGCGACGCCGCGUGGGGGAUGAAGGCCUUCGGGUUGUAAACUCCUUUCGCCAGGGACGAAGCGUUAAAGUGACGGUACCUGGAGAAGAAGCACCGGCUAACUACGUG